GUGUACAGAGCUAUCACAUACACUAGAAUUCAAACAAUAUAGAGAAGAUUAUCAUGACCCCUGAGCAAGAAUAGAAUGAAAAUUAAUGAAAUUUCCUAUGUUUGA
Molecule: small nuclear RNA, 105 nt
Organism: Perognathus longimembris pacificus (Pacific pocket mouse)
Lineage: Eukaryota; Metazoa; Chordata; Mammalia; Rodentia; Heteromyidae
Source: RefSeq, a predicted model, not a curated record